AACGAACGCUGGCGGCAUGCCUAACACAUGCAAGUCGAACGAAACCUUCGGGUCUAGUGGCGCACGGGUGAGUAACGCGUGGGAAUCUUCCCUUCGGUUCGGAAUAACUCCCCGAAAGGGGUGCUAAUACCGGAUAAUGUCUUCUGACCAAAGAUUUAUCGCCCUAGGAUGGGCCCGCGUUGGAUUAGCUAGUUGGUAGGGUAAUAGCUUACCAAGGCGCCGAUCCGUAGCUGGUCUGAGAGGAUGAGCAGCCACACUGGGACUGAGACACGGCCCAGACUCCUACGGGAGGCAGCAGUGGGGAAUAUUGGACAAUGGGCGAAAGCCUGAUCCAGCAAUGCCGCGUGAGUGAUGAAGGCCUUAGGGUUGUAAAGCUCUUUUACCCAGGAUGAUAAUGACAGUACCGGGAGAAUAAGCCCCGGCUAACUCCGUG
Molecule: ribosomal RNA, 433 nt
Filed under: uncultured bacterium
Lineage: Bacteria
Description: partial 16S ribosomal RNA
Rfam family: Bacterial small subunit ribosomal RNA
Source: RNAcentral